This 253-nucleotide ribosomal RNA is filed under the name uncultured bacterium. RNAcentral's name for it is "partial 16S ribosomal RNA". It matches the Rfam family "Bacterial small subunit ribosomal RNA", at positions 524 to 776 of the family's 1533-position model. The record is from RNAcentral.
UACGUAGGGUGCGAGCGUUGUCCGGAAUUAUUGGGCGUAAAGAGCUUGUAGGCGGUCUGUCGCGUCUGCUGUGAAAGUCCAGGGCUCAACCCUGGAAUGCCGAUGGAUACUGCCGGGCUAGAGUUCGGAAGAGGCGAGUGGAAUUCCUGGUGUAGCGGUGGAAUGCGCAGAUAUCAGGAGGAACACCUAUAGCGAAGGCAGCUCGCUGGGACGACACUGACGCUGAGACGCGAAAGCGUGGGGAGCGAACAGG